GAUGAAGAACGUAGCGAAAUGCGAUAAGUAAUGUGAAUUGCAGAAUUCAGUGAAUCAUCGAAUCUUUGAACGCGCAUUGCGCCCGCCAGUAUUCUGGCGGGCAUGCCUGUUCGAGCGUCAUUUCAACCAUCAAGCCCCCGGCUUGUGUUGGGGACCUGCGGCUGCCGCAGGCCCUGAAAACCAGUGGCGGGCUCGCUAGUCACUCCGAGCGUAGUAAUACAUCUCGCUCAGGGCGUGCUGCGGGUUCCGGCCGUUAAAAAGCCUUAUUUACCCAAGGUUGACCUCGGAUCAGGUAGGAAGACCCGCUGAACUUAAGCAUAUCAAUAAGCGGAGGA
Molecule: unclassified non-coding RNA, 335 nt
Filed under: soil metagenome
Description: partial contains 5.8S ribosomal RNA, internal transcribed spacer 2, and large subunit ribosomal RNA
Rfam family: 5.8S ribosomal RNA (bases 1-120)
Source: RNAcentral